This 253-nucleotide ribosomal RNA is filed under the name uncultured bacterium. RNAcentral describes it as "partial 16S ribosomal RNA". It matches the Rfam family "Bacterial small subunit ribosomal RNA", at positions 524 to 776 of the family's 1533-position model. The record is from RNAcentral.
UACGGGGGGGGCAAGCGUUGUUCGGAAUUACUGGGCGUAAAGGGCUCGUAGGCGGCCAACUAAGUCAGACGUGAAAUCCCUCGGCUUAACCGGGGAACUGCGUCUGAUACUGGUUGGCUUGAAUCCGGGAGAGGGAUGCGGAAUUCCAGGUGUAGCGGUGAAAUGCGUAGAUAUCUGGAGGAACACCGGUGGCGAAGGCGGCAUCCUGGACCGGCAUUGACGCUGAGGCGCGAAAGCCAGGGGAGCAAACGGG